Molecule: long non-coding RNA, 5784 nt
Organism: Ostrea edulis (European flat oyster)
Lineage: Eukaryota; Metazoa; Mollusca; Bivalvia; Ostreida; Ostreidae
Exons: 2
Source: RefSeq, a predicted model, not a curated record
UCAUUUUACCUAAUGAUAGGUUGUCUUGGCAAACUAGAUCGGUGUAACGACCAUAGAAUUUGCGAAAUGCUGACUUUAACCGAGACUGCUGGAAUACCUGUACCAUCAACUUGUUUGUCAAUAGCCUCCUUCGAUUCAAAAACUGACUAUACGCAGAACAAGCUUGUCUCGAUUUAAAAACUGACUUAAUAUACGCAGAACAAGCUCUUGCGUAUCGAAUCAGUUGAGAGAUAUAAACACCAUCUGCAGGUGAUAAUGGAAUAUUGCUACAUAAAUAUGACAGGUUGACGAUGGAGAAGCUGAAAUCAUCCCGUUUGUCAUAAAGUUGAGUUAUUAGUUUGCCGUUAGUAUCUACUUCAAUAAAGUAUCUAAGUAUGAAGCAGAAGUGGACGACUCUGUGGUGUCUUAUUUCGAAUUCACUGGGAUAUAUCGAAUCGACAUAUGAAUGAAAAGUAUUAUUGUUUAUAGAUAAUACAUCGUCGAUAAAUCUAAAUGUGGAAUUGAAGACCACAACAAGAGAUAUUUCGAAUAAAUUCUGCUUCAUGGGAAUGUAAAAACAGGUCAGCUAACAAAGGAGCACAACUCGUACCCAUUGGAAUUCCAACAGAUUGUUGGAAGACCUGAUCACCAAAGACUACGAUGAUAUUGUCAAUGAGAGACUCCAGUAUAUUUUUUUUUUCAAGUUCAGAGUACUUGUGCGUUGAUUCAGAGUGGCGUUUUACAAAGUAAUUUUUUGGAUGACUGAUCACUAGAUAGGAAUAUUUACGGGUUUUUUGUUGUUGAACUAGCUACUGUCUAUGAUGUCAAAAAGUCUAGUCUUUAAUUUUUCACGAGGAAUGGUCGUGUAAAGUGUUGAAAACUUACCAUAAAUCUGGUUAUUUUUGCUGUCGAUUUAGCGUUUUUGCGAGUCAGUUGGAUUACCAAAAAUACUUUUCUCAAAAAGAAUGUUUCACACGUUUUUUGACAUGUUCUUACAUAAAUUCGCAAAAAUAAGAAACACAAAAAUUAAUUUGUAGACUUUUAACUCAAAUUCGCAAAAAUAAAUCGAUGCAAAAUUAUCCAGAUUUACGGUAUACAUUUUGAUGUUGUUGAUUUGAGAAAAGUUUUGCGAUUUUAAGUUUACUAAAAGUACUUUAGAAUUUCGUAGAAUCCACAUUUGAUUUACAUCACUUUCGGCAUAAUUAUGUAGUCGCACAGUACGUUUGAGGUUUCUCCUUCACAGCUUUUAAUAUUUUCGUGACGAGCAGAGAUAGAGGCUCGGUAGAUCAUUUACUGGGUCCAGAAUGUAUCCUUGUUUGUAGGGGUUUUUAUGAAGUUUAGAAAUACAGUAAAGAUACGAUAACUGAUAUUCAUCCGACCCAUUGACUGGGAUAUUAAAUGUGUCGAAAACUGAAGCAUGGUUUUGAAGAAUUUCGUCUUUUGAAAGGGCAGUUGAAGUAUAAGUACGAUUACCAAUAGUGGAAUUAAUUCGUUUUAAAAGCAGUUGUAAUAAUGAGCGUUACAAACAAAAACAAUGUUAUUACGAGCUUUGUCAGCUGGAACCAAAACAUAUUCUCAUGUAAUCUAUCUAAUUCUUUUAUCACUUCUGGUCUACUGAACACCGAAGAAUAGAUGAUACGUACGUUUGUUUUAAUGUCUAAUGCGGGAUUUUAAUAUUCCUCUUAUACUUUUAAUCCAUUCUGACAAUGUAUCAAGUUCUUUUUCAAAUUUAGCCCAUCGUCUGGCAUAAUCUUCGAUACAAUUCAUAAUAGAAAUGAAGUUCUAUCACCAAUUGAAAGACCGAGGUUCUCCGUAUUUAGGACAUUUUAGAAUAAGUGAUUUGAGGUCCUCAUUUUCAACUAUAUCAACAUCACCAGUAAUGACAUGUCCAGCUGGACUAUAUAUCAACAUCACCAUAAUGACAUGUCCAGCUGGACUAUAGUUGAAAGAAGAUGAACAACAAGAACACGUGAGUGGAUUAAGUAUAAGAUUGUCUAUAUCUAGGCACUGUAAAGUUUGUUUAUAAUUAAAAAGUUUGGAUGCUAUAGUAGAAGUAUAUUUGUAGGAAAUACAGGGUGUAGACUUCAAUUUGAAAUAAGUUGAAAUACACGACUGAACUCUUUUAUGACGAAGAAUGUUGCUUAUGUUGACGGCAUCUUUUCCUUUGUUUGUAAAUUUGAGCUUAAAGAACUGGCGGCAUGAUUUGGAAGGAAUAUCAUCCAUGACCCGUAGUGGUUUAAAGAGCCUGGGAUUGGAACAUCCAUAAACAUAGAGGUCAAUCUAUAUUCAGGUAUUGAAAAAUCGAAGUAUAGACUAGCUGUGUUUUCUUGAAAUAACGUAUGUAAAACUCUCAAUGGAACAGAGUAAAGUUUUGUGCGAAUAUGAUGUGGACCUAAUUGUUUGUUGACGUAAGGUAAAAGCGAAUCAAACGUGGCAUCAUUUAUACUUAGUCUUUGAUAUGAACGGUGUCCAUGAUUGCGUCUCCGUCUUUGAAUAUUGGGAAAGAGUCCCAUCACAUUCACGUUAAUUGCUUGUGGACUAGCUAAAUUUCCUAGAUCAUAUACAUUAUCAUUGCAUCCAUACGAAAAUUCAGUACGUAGAGUUCCGAUCCAGUGAUCUUCUCGUUGUCUACGAAAAGGGGUACUUAAUAUUGAACUAUUUGUGUGAUGUUAAUUUUUUUCUUCCAAAAUCCAGACCUUCAUGGACAAGAUGGAGUUGUCCGGUGAAUUCAAAUGCUUGUAAAGAAGUUGGUUACCACCAUUAUUUAUUUGAAAUCUGUGCCCCGAUAUUCUUUUAUGAAGUGAACUCUUAGUUUCUCCCACAUAAAUUAAGUCACAUAGGUUACACUCAAUAGCGUAGACAACGUUAGAAGAUUUACAAGUCAAAUUAUGAAAAGUUUUGGUACAGAAACUACGCCCGGUGAGAUUACUAUUAAUUGAAUUUCUAGUGAUCAGUAUAACACAAAUUUUACAUUUUUACGGAACAUUUUGAGCACAUGAGAACUGAAAAGGAAUUAUCAAAAACUUUUCUUUAAAGGAACAUGACAAUCUUUAAUUUCGGUAUACGAAUUUUGUUUUUUGUACCAAAGCUGAUUAUUAUUUGAUUGUACAUACAACAAAUCUUUUAUAUCUCGAAGGAUAAUCCGAGGGACAUGAACCAAACUAUUGGAGCCUGUGCCCCUUAUAGACUCCACAGAAUGACACCUUUUUAUACUGGGCGACGUGUCAGCCAUUAUUGUAUCGUUAUUGUUAGUAUUCACGAAAGAACAUAUAUCGAGCGACAAAUAUCCUUGGGGAUAUGCGACCUUUGGCAGAUGGUGUUAUAACAGACGUAAUAUUGUCUAAUCCAUUUGAUUAGCUUUGAUUGCUAAACAAGUAUCACGUCAUCGGAUUACUUAUAACUUUUCAUUUUGGCAUUUUUGCCGCCUUUGAGUACACUAGCCAUCAUAAGAAGAAAUGUGGACUGAGUUUUCUUAGUUUUCUAAAAUAAGGUUUGAGGGAAAAUAUUUGUGAAUAUUUCCCGGCGCGAGGACUUUAUGACAUCCAAAAUCAGUUGCCUACGUUCUUUGCACUUUUGUAAAGAGCAGUAGGACAGAGAUUCAGAUGAAGUGAAGGAAAAUUAUUAUAUUGGAACCCAGAAUCAAAUUGAUCUUCCUCUUCCUCUGCAUCAUGUCGAAGACAAGAAUACCGCCAUUUCUCUACCCCCAUCAAAACUCCGAGGAGGCAGAGAGAACCAAAGAUCCGACGUAAGUUUAAAUUACAAAUAAUUGUUAAUAUGUUAUUCUUUGUUUGGAGUGUAAUUAGGAUUUACGGGAUUUUUGCGUCUUCGUUACAGUAGACUAUAGUAGUAAAUUAGGCCAAAUUCAAAUAUAUGAGCGUUUCCUACUCCACUCCCCUAACAUUUGGUAGGUAGAUGGGUAAAAUAUUUCGUUUUAUUAAUUCUUUUAAAAUCGAAAUCGUUUUUGAUACGCUUUAAAUACAGAUAUAAAUAUUUUUCAGGUAUAAUGAGGAUCCGUGGUAGUGAAAAUGUCAGUGGCGUAGCUUCCAUUGAGGCAACCGAGGCAGCUGCCUCGGUAAAAAAAAAAACCCCACCUUUUACGUUGUUAAAAUGUCGAUAGCUUCUGGGGGGCACAGCCCCCCAGACACCCUGCCUUGGUAAUAUUCGAACCCAAGCUACGCCUAUGAAUGUAAUUCAGUGAAGCUUGAAUGCGAAACGGAAAACAUUCCAGUUUGAAAAUUCCAGUCAUGUAUAUCGUCAAUUCAAUACUGAGGGUUUUACAUCAAGUUCUCCAAGAAAUUAAACCUCAUAAUGAGGAACAUCUCCCUACUGACCAUGAGUAUGCAGACCCUUUCCUUCUGCCUGAACUGAGCAGAUAGAGGCACUACCAGCUGAUGAGGACACGUUUGCCAUCUCUUCAGACCAGAUGGAGAAACAAUACCAAACAUCAAUGUGACCCCCACAGAGGACAUGUGUGAUACAUGACAAGGGAAUAAGUACUGUGUCCACCAAAACUCAGUGUUCCAGUCUCUGCAACAAUGUUCCAUUGACGGUCGCUGCCGGAUUAUUGUCUUGCCAUUUGCCUCAGUAACCCCCUUAAGGUGAUUGUGAAGACGACGAUGGUGACCAUGAUCCACACUUCAACAUAAAUAAGGCAGAGGAAGAUGAUGAAGACAUCCAACAUGAAUAGUGUUCCCUGAGGGCCAAUAUCCCAAAAUAAUUCCUGGUUUGAGUAAUUCAUAACAAAAUUAUUGUGCAAUUAUACAAGGGAUACCAUGAUUGUGACUGUGUCAAAAGUGUUACCAAGUUAAGGAGUGCCAUGGUCCAAUCUUCUGACAGGUGCCAUUGUGCCUGGUAUUAAGUGGCAUCAAGACUUCGUUUCUUUAGACAUCUCAAAUUACCAACAAUCGCGGCAUCUAUAUUUAACAGAAUCCAGUCUUCCUCUGUUGUGCCAACAACCUUGUUCACGUGGGACUUCCAUCAAACAGAGUUGCUGAAUCAGUAUACGGGAAGAUCCCUCAUAUUAGAAGGUGACGCAAGACACGCAUCCCCAGGCUUCUCUGCCAAGUUUAGCUCAACUAAAUGAUAAACUUUGAGAUGGGGAAGUGGUGGAUAUUCAGUUGGUUCAGAUGAAUAUGAAAGGUGAAGAUAAGAAACAAUUACCAAUCUCAUAACUCCCAUAAGCAAUAAAUAAUAGAGAGUUGGACAAACACGGAUCCUUGGACAUCCCAGAGGUGAAAUCAGGUGUCUAGAAGGAGUAAGCAUCCCCUGUCGACAGGUCACAGCUCGAUUUUCAAUAUCUGGUUGUUUAUUAAUUGUUCAACGUCAUCCUCGAGUUUUUCACUCGUAUGGAGACGUCAUCAUUACAUAUGAAGGGCUGCAAAAUUUAGGCCUAUGCUCGGUGCUUAUGGCCUUUGAGCAAGGAGAAAUCUUUAUUGUGCCACACCUGUAAUGACACAGGACCUAAGUUUUUGCGGUCUCAUCCAAAGGACCGCCCCAUUUAAUCGCUUUGUUUGACACGGGUACUGAGGACUGUUCUGACCCGGAUCCCCACGGGAUAAAAACUAUAUUGGAAAUUUCUCUGUAAAGCAAAAUAUGAUUAAUAUGAAUCAAAUGAAUAUAGUAACACUACAGAUGGAAAAGUAAGCCAUUAAGUACAUAAAGAGGGCGGAAAAGUAAAAAGAGAACAAGAUUACCGGACACCAUGAGCGUUGAUUAAUUGUCGUACGCUCUUUAGAGAAUAUUAAUAUCAAUAUGACUUACAGAGUUCAUUUUACCCAAGUUAUGUCAAACUUUCAUAUUUCAAAA